UUCGGAUUGUAGUCUGCAACCCGACUACAUGAAGCUGGAAUCGCUAGUAAUCGCGGAUCAGAAUGCCGCGGUGAAUACGUUCCCGGGUCUUGUACACACCGCCCGUCACACCAUGGGAGCCGGGAAUGCCCGAAGUCGGUGACCUAACCGAAAGGGGGGAGCCGCCGAAGGCAGGUCUGGUAACUGGGGUGAAGUCGUAACAAGGUAUC
Molecule: ribosomal RNA, 209 nt
Filed under: uncultured bacterium
Lineage: Bacteria
Description: partial 16S ribosomal RNA
Rfam family: Bacterial small subunit ribosomal RNA
Source: RNAcentral